RNAcentral lists this ribosomal RNA (163 nucleotides) under Brachypodium hybridum. Its description in RNAcentral is "5.8S ribosomal RNA". It matches the Rfam family "5.8S ribosomal RNA". Rfam says of the family: 5.8S ribosomal RNA (5.8S rRNA) is a component of the large subunit of the eukaryotic ribosome. The record is from RNAcentral. Lineage: Eukaryota; Viridiplantae; Streptophyta; Magnoliopsida; Poales; Poaceae.
GACACGACUCUCGGCAACGGAUAUCUCGGCUCUCGCAUCGAUGAAGAACGUAGCGAAAUGCGAUACCUGGUGUGAAUUGCAGAAUCCCGCGAACCAUCGAGUCUUUGAACGCAAGUUGCGCCRGAGGCCACCCGGUCGAGGGCACGCCUGCCUGGGCGUCACG